GACGAACGCUGGCGGCGUGCCUAACACAUGCAAGUCGAACGGAGAUACGAUUUCGGUUGUAUCUUAGUGGCGAACGGGUGAGUAACGCGUGAGCAACCUGACCUUUAGAGGGGGAUAACACUUGGAAACAGGUGCUAAUACCGCAUAAGACCACGACCCGACAUCGGGAUGAGGUCAAAGGAGUAAUCCGCUAGAGGAGGGGCUCGCGUCCCAUUAGAUAGAUGGCGGGUAACGGCCCACCAUGUCGACGAUGGGUAGCCGAGCUGAGAGGCUGAUCGGCCACACUGGAACUGAGACACGGUCCAGACUCCUACGGGAGGCAGCAGUGGGGAAUAUUGGGCAAUGGGCGCAAGCCUGACCCAGCAACGCCGCGUGAGGGAAGAAGGCCUUCGGGUUGUAAACCUCUGUCCUUGGUGACGAAAAAAUAGACGGUAGCCAAGGAGGAAGCCCGGCUAACUACGUGCCAGCAGCCGCGGUAAU
RNAcentral lists this ribosomal RNA (480 nucleotides) under uncultured bacterium. RNAcentral's name for it is "bacterial SSU rRNA". It matches the Rfam family "Bacterial small subunit ribosomal RNA", at positions 28 to 524 of the family's 1533-position model. The record is from RNAcentral.